AUUGAACGCUGGCGGCAUGCCUUACACAUGCAAGUCGAACGGUAACGGGCCUUCGGGUGCCGACGAGUGGCGAACGGGUGAGUAAUACAUCGGAACGUGCCCGAUCGUGGGGGAUAACGAGGCGAAAGCUUUGCUAAUACCGCAUACGAUCUACGGAUGAAAGCAGGGGACCGCAAGGCCUUGCGCGGACGGAGCGGCCGAUGGCAGAUUAGGUAGUUGGGGGGAUAAAAGCUUACCAAGCCGACGAUCUGUAGCUGGUCUGAGAGGAUGAUCAGCCACACUGGGACUGAGACACGGCCCAGACUCCUACGGGAGGCAGCAGUGGGGAAUUUUGGACAAUGGGCGCAAGCCUGAUCCAGCCAUGCCGCGUGCAGGAUGAAGGCCUUCGGGUUGUAAACUGCUUUUGUACGGAACGAAAAGCCUUCUUUUAAUACAGGAGGGUCAUGACGGUACCGUAAGAAUAAGCACCGGCUAACUACGUG
This 482-nucleotide ribosomal RNA is filed under the name uncultured bacterium. RNAcentral's name for it is "partial 16S ribosomal RNA". It matches the Rfam family "Bacterial small subunit ribosomal RNA", at positions 30 to 507 of the family's 1533-position model. The record is from RNAcentral.